UUCCUUCUGCAUCUCCCUGUGGGGCAUUAAAUAGUGGGAAGUGCCCAGACCUCAUCAGCCCUGCUCCCUGGGCCUUCCUCCAGCCCCUCCUCUCCCUCAUCCUCUAAGAAGCUUCUGAAAACAGGCUGUCUGGGCCUAGGGCAAAAGCUGACCUUGGGUUUACUGGACAUGCCUCAGAGACAAUGAGAUGUAAGCAAGACUCUUCCAAGCCCCUCCUCUGUACCCUCCUGCUCUCACUCCUGAAAGCCCCAGAAGGAUACUGGAGGGGUCAGAUCCAUCUGUGCAAGCCCACAACCACACCUCCAAACCUGAGCAAACACCCCCAGCACCCAGGCCUCUGCAGACAUCCCCCAGCAUUGAGAACCCUCCCCAAGGGGAUGGGCUGGUUCUCCCUGACCCACAGCCCAGCUCCAGCAGCCCAUGGGUGUAGCCCUCCUGAAACAGGAGCCUCAUCCUCCCUCACCCUCACCUGGCUAUGCUGUACCCAAGGCCAAAGCCCAGAGAUAUAAGGGAGCUUCUGCAGAGCCCAGGACAGCAGGCUGCUCUAUGGGGGCCCUGGGGACUCAGAGUGUGGCCAGCCCAUCCCCGGCUCAGGAUAGACCACAGGGUGCUUGGUGAUUCCUGCAUUGGAACUCCCUCUCUAAGCUCCCCAUGAACCUGGACCUCAGAGGCCUGUGGUUUUCACAGUAGAGCUUGGAGCAGAGAUGCUAGGCCCCUGUCACUUCUGUAUCUGCCCUGGACACCUCUAAGACCAUAGAACUGGCCUAACCCUCAAUACUAGACACUGCCCAACCCCCUGAUAGCCCAGAGGUAGAGCCAGAGACAACUCUCCUGCAUGUGGUGCCUACAUCUGAUCACCCUUGGCAGACGGUGACCAUCAUGGCCCAGAAGGAGCCAGGGCAGCACUUGGCAAGCUGCCCCAAAGCCCCAGAGAGCUCCUUAGACAUGGAAAGUCAAUACUGAUAGGGAAGCUGGACACUUGAAGGCCACUGGAGGGAAGGGUGGGCAUGGCAUCCCCACAGCCCAGGCCAGCCAGCAGCAUGCCCUGCAUCCAUGGUCCCAACCUGUAGGGCAAAACCUCCCUCUCAACGCACAAUUCCCAGACCCAGAGGGCCCUAGCCCAGACUCAACCUGAGCCCUGAAAGGGAAGGGGCACCAAGGGUGCCUUGGGGCCCCCAGCAGCAGCCAAGAUACACAAGAGAUGGAGCCCCCUGUGGCCCUGGCCAGAACUAGUAUUUGGCUUAAGGUGGAGAAAACCCCCUUGGAGCACUGCCUACAUACCCGGGGCCUAUGUGUGCCUGGCAAGGCCAAGCUGAUGAUGUUACCAAGCUCAAACUACCACUGGCCACCUUGGUGAGGGUGGAGCAGAAACAUGUGGACCAGCCACCAACCUGAUCCAUUCAAGGAAGCAGAAAUGGCCAGGAUCCUGCAGGAUAAGUGGCCACCACCAGACCACCAAUGGGGCAGAGUUCUGAGGCCCAAGCAGAUGGCACUGGGGCCCUGCUUCCAGGGUCCACAAUCUGCUCCAGGACACAAGACUGAAGAAAACUAAGCAAAUGAGAGUCCAGGAGGCUGGAUCCCUCAUCUGCCAUUCUUGGCAGUUGCAUUUUGUGGUCAGAAAAAGUCAGGAAACGGCGCUACUCACUGCAGGAGGCUCCAAGGUGGGACCAGAACUUCCAGCAUAGAUUCAACAAUGCCUAAGAAAACCUCUUUUUGGGGAAAAGGACCCCUUCCUUGGCCUCAAAGCCCCCACUUAUUUUGAUUAAAGCCCAAUAAAGUCUUUGUUGUUA
Molecule: long non-coding RNA, 1790 nt
Organism: Symphalangus syndactylus (siamang)
Lineage: Eukaryota; Metazoa; Chordata; Mammalia; Primates; Hylobatidae
Source: RefSeq, a predicted model, not a curated record